Molecule: ribosomal RNA, 809 nt
Filed under: uncultured Glomus
Lineage: Eukaryota; Fungi; Glomeromycota; Glomeromycetes; Glomerales; Glomeraceae
Description: bacterial SSU rRNA
Rfam family: Eukaryotic small subunit ribosomal RNA
Source: RNAcentral
AUCAACUUUCGAUGGUAGGAUAGAGGCCUACCAUGGUGGUAACGGGUAACGGGGUGUUAGGGCACGACACCGGAGAGGAAGCCUGAGAAACGGCUACCACAUCCAAGGAUGGCAGCAGGCGCGCAAAUUACCCAAUCCCGACACGGGGAGGUAGUGACAAUAAAUAACAAUACGGGGUUCUUUCGGAUCUCGUAAUUGGAAUGAGUACAAUUUAAAUCUCUUAACGAGGAACAAUUGGAGGGCAAGUCUGGUGCCAGCAGCCGCGGUAAUUCCAGCUCCAAUAGCGUAUAUUAAAGUUGUUGCAGUUAAAAAGCUCGUAGUCGAACUUUGGGCUCGGCCGGGUGGUCCGCUGCUUCGGUGGCGAGUACUGCCUCUCUCAGGCCGGGCCUUUCCUCCUGGGGAGCCGUGGCGGGUGGCCUUCGGGCGGCCUGCCGCGGGGAGCCAGGACGUUUACCUUGAAAAAAUUAGAGUGUUCAAAGCAGGCGUACGCUUGCAUAGAUUAGCAUGGAAUAAUGGAAUAGGACCUGUGGUUCUGUUUUGUUGGUUUCUGGAACCGCGGUAAUGAUUAAUAGGGACGGUUGGGGGCAUUUGUAUCUCGUAGCUAGAGGUGAAAUUCUUGGAUUUACGAGCGACAAACCUAUGCGAAAGCAUCUGCCAAGGAUGUUUUCAUUGAUCAAGAACGAAAGUUAGGGGAUCGAAGACGAUUAGAUACCGUCGUAGUCUUAACCAUAAACGAUGCCGACUAGGGAUUGGGCGAUGUUGUUGUGACUCGCCCAGCACCUUCAGAGGAAACCAAAGUGUUUGGGUUC